Molecule: ribosomal RNA, 440 nt
Filed under: uncultured bacterium
Lineage: Bacteria
Description: partial 16S ribosomal RNA
Rfam family: Bacterial small subunit ribosomal RNA
Source: RNAcentral
CCUACGGGAGGCAGCAGUGGGGAAUAUUGCACAAUGGAGGAAACCCUGAUGCAGCGACGCCGCGUGAGUGAAGAAGUAAUUCGUUAUGUAAAGCUCUAUCAGCAGGGAAGAAAAUGACGGUACCUGAGUAAGAAGCUCCGGCUAACUACGUGCCAGCAGCCGCGGUAAUACGUAGGUGGCAACCGUUAUCCGGAUUUACUGGGUGUAAAGGGAGCGUAGACGGCAGAGAAAGUCUGGAGUGAAAGGCGGGGGCGCAACCCCCGGAUUGCUCUGGAAACUGUACGGCGGGAGUGCAGGAGAGGUGAGUGGAAUUCCUGGUGUAGCGGUGAAAUGCUUAGAUAUUAGGAGGAACCCCAGUGGCGAAGGCGGCUUACUGGACUGUAACUGACGUUGAGGCUCGAAAGCGUGGGGAGCAAACAGGAUUAGAUACCCCAGUAGUC